CUAAGUUUAAGCAACUAUACGGUGAAACUGCGAAUGGCUCAUUAAAUCAGUUAUCGUUUAUUUGAUAGUACCUUACUACWUGGAUACCYGUGGUAAUUCUAGAGCUAAUACAUGCUAAAWAYCCCGACUUCGGAAGGGAUGUAUUUAUUAGAUUAAAAACCAAUGCCCUUCGGGGCUCCUUGGUGAUUCAUGAUAACUCMWCGAAUCGCAUGGCCUUGUGCCGGCGAUGGUUCAUUCAAAUUUCUUCCCUAUCAACUUUCGAUGKUWGGGUAKUGGCCWAMCAUGGUUGCAACGGGUAACGGAGGGUUAGGGCUCGACCCCGGAGAAGGAGCCUGAGAAACGGCUACUACAUCCAAGGAAGGCAGCAGGCGCGCAAAUUACCCAAUCCCGACUCGGGGAGGUAGUGACAAUAAAUACUGAUACAGGGCUCUUUUGGGUCUUGUAAUUGGAAUGAGUACAAUUUAAAUCCCUUAACGAGGAACAAUUGGAGGGCAAGUCUGGUGCCAGCAGCCGCGGUAAUUCCAGCUCCAAUAGCGUAUAUUAAAGUUGUUGUGGUUAAAAAGCUCGUAWUUGAACCUUGGGCCUGGCUGGCCGGUCCGCCUCACCGCGUGUACUGGUCCGGCCGGGCCUUUCCCUCUGUGGAACCCCAUGCCCUUCACUGGGUGUGGCGGGGAAACAGGACUUUUACUUUGAAAAAAUUAGAGUGCUCCAGGCAGGCCUAUGCUCGAAUACAUUAGCAUGGAAUAAUAGAAUAGGACGUGUGGUUCUAUUUUGUUGGUUUCUAGGACCGCCGUAAUGAUUAA
RNAcentral lists this ribosomal RNA (803 nucleotides) under Illosporiopsis christiansenii. RNAcentral's name for it is "SSU rRNA". It matches the Rfam family "Eukaryotic small subunit ribosomal RNA", at positions 59 to 883 of the family's 1831-position model. The record is from RNAcentral. Lineage: Eukaryota; Fungi; Ascomycota; Sordariomycetes; Hypocreales.